Molecule: ribosomal RNA, 463 nt
Filed under: uncultured bacterium
Lineage: Bacteria
Description: partial 16S ribosomal RNA
Rfam family: Bacterial small subunit ribosomal RNA
Source: RNAcentral
GAUGAACGCUGACAGAAUGCUUAACACAUGCAAGUCGAUGGGGAAGUGGUGCUUGCACCAUGGCAACCAUGGCGGACGGGUGAGUAACGCGUAAGGGACUUACCUGCAGGACUGGGAUAACAGGGGGAAACUCCUGACAAGACCGGAUAAUGUCAUGGAGCUGCAUGGCUUUUUGAUGAAAGGAGACGCCUGCGGAGAGCCUUGCGUCCUAUUAGCUAGUUGGUGAGGUAAUGGCUCACCAAGGCGAAGAUAGGUAGCCGGCCUGAGAGGGUGGACGGCCACAAGGGGACUGAGAUACGGCCCUUACGCCUACGGGAGGCAGCAGUGGGGAAUAUUGGACAAUGGGGGCAACCCUGAUCCAGCAAUUCUGUGUGCACGAAGAAGGUUUUCGGAUUGUAAAGUGCUUUCAGCAGGGAAGAAGUAAGUGACGGUACCUGCAGAAGAAGCGACGGCUAAAUACGUG